This 253-nucleotide ribosomal RNA is filed under the name uncultured bacterium. Its description in RNAcentral is "partial 16S ribosomal RNA". It matches the Rfam family "Bacterial small subunit ribosomal RNA", at positions 524 to 776 of the family's 1533-position model. The record is from RNAcentral.
UACGUAGGUGGCAAGCGUUGUCCGGAAUUAUUGGGCGUAAAGCGCGCGCAGGUGGUUUCUUAAGUCUGAUGUGAAAGCCCACGGCUCAACCGUGGAGGGUCAUUGGAAACUGGGGAACUUGAGUGCAGAAGAGGAAAGUGGAAUUCCAAGUGUAGCGGUGAAAUGCGUAGAGAUUUGGAGGAACACCAGUGGCGAAGGCGGGUCUCUGGGCAUCUCCUGACGCUGAGGCGCGAAAGCGUGGGGAGCAAACGGG